GCUGGGCACGGUGGCACAUGCCUGUAAUCCUAGCGGCUUGGGAGGCUGAGGCAGGAGGAUCACAAGUUGAAAGUCAACCUCAGCAAGGGUGAGGCACUAUGCGACUCAGUGAGACCCUGUCUCUA
RNAcentral lists this small RNA (125 nucleotides) under Marmota monax (woodchuck). The record is from RNAcentral. Lineage: Eukaryota; Metazoa; Chordata; Mammalia; Rodentia; Sciuridae.